This 1366-nucleotide ribosomal RNA is filed under the name uncultured bacterium. RNAcentral describes it as "16S ribosomal RNA". It matches the Rfam family "Bacterial small subunit ribosomal RNA", at positions 73 to 1438 of the family's 1533-position model. The record is from RNAcentral.
AGGAAGCUUGCUUUCUGGUGAGACUGGCGCACGGGUGAGUAACGCGUAGGUAAUCUGGCUUCAGAUGGGGGACAACCCGGGGAAACCCGGGCUAAUACCGCAUGAUGCAGCGGGACCACAUGGUCACAGUUGUUAAAGACGAAAGUUGUCUGAAGAUGAGCCUGCGUCGCAUUAGUUAGUUGGCAGGGUAAAAGCCUACCAAGACGAUGAUGCGUAGCUGGUCUGAGAGGAUGAUCAGCCACACGGGGACUGAGACACGGCCCCGACUCCUACGGGAGGCAGCAGUGAGGAAUCUUGCGCAAUGGGGGAAACCCUGACGCAGCCACGCCGCGUGCAGGAAGAAGGUCUUAUGGAUUGUAAACUGCUUUUAUGUGGGAAGAACCGACUGGUUUCGACCGGUCCUGACGGUACCACACGAAUAAGCACCGGCUAACUCCGUGCCAGCAGCCGCGGUAAUACGGAGGGUGCAAGCGUUGUCCGGAAUCAUUGGGUGUAAAGGGUGCGUAGGCGGGUGUCUAAGUCUGAGGUGAAAUCCUGCGGCUCAACCGUAGCAUUGCCUUGGAUACUGGGCAUCUUGAGUGUGAGAGAGGUCGGUGGAAUUCGUGGUGUAGCGGUGAAAUGCAUAGAUAUCACGAAGAACACCAGUGGCGUAGGCGGCCGACUGGCUCACAACUGACGCUGAGGCACGAGAGCGUGGGGAGCGAACAGGAUUAGAUACCCUGGUAGUCCACGCUGUAAACGAUGGAUACUAGGUGUUGGCCCGAAUGGGUCAGUGCCGCAGCCAACGCGUUAAGUAUCCCACCUGGGGAGUACGUUCGCAAGAAUGAAACUCAAAGGAAUUGACGGGGGCCCGCACAAGCGGUGGAGCAUGUGGCUUAAUUCGAUGCAACGCGAAGAACCUUACCCGGGCUAAAUCUGCCCUGCUACUCCGGGAAACCGGAGGUUCCUUCGGGACGGGGCAGAAGGUGCUGCAUGGCUGUCGUCAGCUCGUGCCGUGAGGUGUUGGGUUAAGUCCCGCAACGAGCGCAACCCCUAUGACUAGUUACCAGCGUGUAGAGACGGGGACUCUAGUCAGACUGCCUACGCAAGUAGAGAGGAAGGUGGGGACGACGUCAAGUCAUCAUGGCCCUUACGUCCGGGGCUGCACACGUGCUACAAUGGGCGGUACAGAGGGUGACUACACCGCGAGGUGAUGUUAAUCUCGAAAACCGUUCUCAGUUCGGAUUGGAGUCUGCAACCCGACUCCAUGAAGCUGGAAUCGCUAGUAAUCGCGUAUCAGCAACGACGCGGUGAAUACGUUCCCGGGCCUUGUACACACCGCCCGUCAAGCGAUGGAAGUAGGUAGUACCUGAUGUCGCUGAGCUAA